UUUUUCCUACGGGACGCAGCAGUGGGGAAUAUUGCACAAUGGGCGCAAGCCUGAUGCAGCCAUGCCGCGUGUUGAAGAAGGCCUUCGGGUUGUAAAGUACUUUCAGCGGGGAGGAAGGGAGUAAAGUUAAUACCUUUACUCAUUGACGUUACCCGCAGAAGAAGCACCGGCUAACUCCGUGCCAGCAGCCGCGGUAAUACGGAGGGUGCAAGCGUUAAUCGGAAUUACUGGGCGUAAAGCGCACGCAGGCGGUUUGUUAAAGCAGAUGUGAAAUCCCCGGGCUCAACCUGGGGACUGCAUCUGAU
This 305-nucleotide ribosomal RNA is filed under the name uncultured bacterium. Its description in RNAcentral is "bacterial SSU rRNA". It matches the Rfam family "Bacterial small subunit ribosomal RNA", at positions 333 to 631 of the family's 1533-position model. The record is from RNAcentral.